AGGGCCUUCAAUAGAAUCAGUAGAGACACGCGCUUUCAUUCUUUUCUUCGAAACCACAAAGAGCAGCGCUCUUCCUCCCUCCACCUUACCAUCAACCCUAACCCACGUCUUCAGAUUCCGAGAUCAAAUCGCAGCUCACCAGGAAGCUCGAAAUCGCAAGUCAGCAGGAGCAGGAAGCCCUAAAUCGCAACUCACCAUCCUCGCACAUCAUCGUCGCUGUGUCUUCCCCAAAUCGUCGCGACCUCCUCCUUCCUGGCAUCACUGAGUCUCUCCUCUCCGCGGCUUCAGUGCUUUUCCGUUCUUCGUAGCGUCCUUGCGUCUUCUGCUUCGCUACCUCUCCCCUGUUCUGCUUCGCUGCUUCUGCUUCACUGGGUUGUGCUUCGCCACUUCUUCUUUGCUGCUGCUGCUUCACUGCAUUGGUGGUUACGGGUUGUCAUCUGUGGCUGCUUCUAAGGAAAAUAAUGAACCACCUACUCAAGCAGAAAUAUUUGUUGAGACUCGCCAAAGCACAAAGGGAAAAUCAUUGGAUGAAGACACUCUGGAUGUUAUUGUAAGUAUUAAUUAGGAGUUAAUUUGGUUAAAAAAGGUUUUAGAUUUCUUGUGUCUUGGCAAUUUUUCCAUCACUUGUGGUUACUUUUAUGCUUGCGUUGAGUUAAAGAAUCUUGACAUUAUUUUUAAUCUCUAUUAUUUGUUUCGAUGUUGUCAAAUGAUAUAUGCCUUUAGUCCAAUUGUGUAUUCACUCUUAUUUUAUUACUAUUAUUUUUCUUCACAUUAAUAUAUGCACAUUUGCAAGCUGAGAAUAAAAAGUCUAAAGAAUCAGCAAUUAGAGCUUUCCAAUCCAUAUUUGGGAAAGAGAAGGCAGAGAGAGUGCGAUGUCACGGAAGAGUUACCACACCAACUUUGUUGAAGAAAAAUGAGGAAAUUGCCACCCUUAAACAGCAACAUGCAACUAAGAAAGCAACAUUAGAGAAUAAGGUUGAUGUGAUGCAAAAAGAAGUAGAUGAACUAAAAUCGCUUGUUAAGAUGAUGCUGCAACAAAAAAACUCAGGAGUGGACCUUGACAUGUUAGCUGCUCAAUUAGGAAGCACUUUAGGGAAUCCAAACAAUGAUGCGCAUGAAGAGGAAAACUAUGUUGAAGGAAAAAUCGAACUUGAUUAAGGUCAACUUUUUAAAAGCAAAUGUUACAGAGUAAAAAGUCAUGAACUUGUGGACAUGAUGACUAUUUGCUACUUAGCUAUUUCAACUCUCUUUUGUUAUUAUAUUUUUUGCAAACUUAGAUGAUAUUGUGGAUCUUACAACAAUUUUUAUAAGUUAAAUUUGAUGGGAAAUGUUCAAUUUUUUUUCUUUA
This is a non-coding RNA of Arachis ipaensis, 1348 nucleotides long. Lineage: Eukaryota; Viridiplantae; Streptophyta; Magnoliopsida; Fabales; Fabaceae. The record is from RefSeq and is a predicted model, not a curated record.